RNAcentral lists this ribosomal RNA (505 nucleotides) under uncultured Geobacter sp. RNAcentral describes it as "bacterial SSU rRNA". It matches the Rfam family "Bacterial small subunit ribosomal RNA", at positions 335 to 831 of the family's 1533-position model. Lineage: Bacteria; Pseudomonadati; Thermodesulfobacteriota; Desulfuromonadia; Geobacterales; Geobacteraceae. The record is from RNAcentral.
ACUCCUACGGGAGGCAGCAGUGGGGAAUUUUGCGCAAUGGGGGAAACCCUGACGCAGCAACGCCGCGUGAGUGAUGAAGGCCUUCGGGUCGUAAAGCUCUGUCAGAGGGGAAGAAAUGCAGGGGUGCUAACACCAUUUCUGCUUGACGGUACCCUCAAAGGAAGCACCGGCUAACUCCGUGCCAGCAGCCGCGGUAAUACGGAGGGUGCGAGCGUUGUUCGGAAUUAUUGGGCGUAAAGCGCGUGUAGGCGGCUCCUUAAGUCUGAUGUGAAAGCCCCGGGCUCAACCUGGGAAGUGCAUUGGAUACUGGAAGACUUGAAUACGGGAGAGGGCAGUGGAAUUCCUGGUGUAGGAGUGAAAUCCGUAGAUAUCAGGAGGAACACCGGUGGCGAAGGCGGCUGCCUGGACCGAUACUGACGCUGAGACGCGGAAGCGUGGGGAGCAAACAGGAUUAGAUACCCUGGUAGUCCACGCCGUAAACGAUGAGAACUAGGUGUCGCGGGUA